AACUUAUUCAGAGUAAGCAGAGGGAAUUGGCCCGAUGAAGCUUCAGCAACCGACCUUUUGGCACGGUGCUACAUCCAACAAGCAUGGCUUGGCAGAUAAGUG
RNAcentral lists this non-coding RNA (102 nucleotides) under Streptococcus sp. RNAcentral's name for it is "SAM-I sequence". It matches the Rfam family "SAM riboswitch aptamer (S box leader)". From Rfam's summary of the family: The SAM riboswitch is found upstream of a number of genes which code for proteins involved in methionine or cysteine biosynthesis in Gram-positive bacteria. The SAM riboswitch acts at the level of transcription termination control. Lineage: Bacteria; Bacillati; Bacillota; Bacilli; Lactobacillales; Streptococcaceae. RNAcentral also lists the same sequence under 1 other name. The record is from RNAcentral.